Long non-coding RNA from Nicotiana tabacum (common tobacco), 2710 nucleotides. RefSeq lists it as uncharacterized. Lineage: Eukaryota; Viridiplantae; Streptophyta; Magnoliopsida; Solanales; Solanaceae. The record is from RefSeq and is a predicted model, not a curated record.
UCCAAAAAUUCAAUCUUUCAAUUCCUCCCCAAAUUAUCUUCAAAUCCUGUCCUCUCCUGGGCGUUCAGAGGUCGCCUAUGCCGCCUACCACCACUCCAACCACUGUUGACCACCGGCCGGAAAUUGCCUCUAUCGGCGAAGUCAACCAAACAACCUCAAACCAUUAUUUUUCUUCUCCUCUCCUCCCCCUCUACACUCUUCUGCCCCAAAUGUCACUCCAUCAUUACCAAAUUCGAAACCCUAUCCUGUUCGUUCCCUUCUUGAUUUCAUCGACCAUCAUCGAUCAACAAGUCUUAAUAGUUACAUCAUUAGAUAGGUCUUAGAGAGAUCAAUCUAGUAAUUUAAGUAUCUAUUCAUUCAAUGAAUGUCGGUGCCGAUCAACUCAUCAUUGAUCGACCGGAGUUCAUGCAAAAGCCCAUCCAUGCCACUGCCUAACCUCCCAAUAGCCCUUACUCAUGGUAGAUCCACCCAUUGGUGGAAAUUCGUAAGUAAUAAAGCUUUAAACUAGCUAAGUGAAUAUGAAGUUCAAGGUGGUUCUAAUGGAGAAAGGUCCGUUGGUGGUUAGAUACCACCAAAUCAUGCACCAUCUAGUCUCACCUGGUUCUACUUUACUCCGAUAGGUGCAGAACCACAGAAGCGAGAAAAGUAUAGUAGAAGCGAAACUUACACAGAAGUAGAUUCCUAACCGCAUAAGCGGAGCCGCAGAAAUGUUCAAAUAUCUGUAGAUGCGACUCGUCGGAUAAUUUUAAAGAUCCAAUAUGCCCUUCAGCAGGUCAGAGUCUGAACUCUAUUCUCCCAACCCAAAACCCCUCUCAUAUUUCACACAAGGAAACUAUUACUCGAAUCCUACUGCCUACACACAAGGAAAUCAGGUAAUCAUCUUUUUCCCUUUGUCUCUUAGCUACUCUCUCUUUUUCCCCGAUUUUCUUCUUCUCUCGUUAUCUUAUACUUUUAUGCAUAGCUAUUUCCCACAGCCUCUUUAUCCCAUCUCGAUAAUUGUUAGUGUUCGGGUGAGGAAAAUUGGUUAAGUGUAGUUGUAGAAGUCUGAGUACCCGAUUACUUUAAAGGAUCAAAACUCUCUCGUUUCUUGCUAAGUGUUCGGUGAUUUAUUCGAGAGAAAUUUAUGUGCUAAGUGCCUUGAGAUCAUGUGUAAUCAAGUUGUGUAAUCAUGUAGUGCACAAAUUUAGAAGUCUUGAGUAUAACUUUUGUGCCAAAAACGUGAUUUGAAUUGAAAAGAGUCGACAGUUUCUGGGCCCUUCAAAAUCUAGUGAAAAUCGCUUUUGUGAAGUAAAGGCUGCAUAUGCGUCCUGCACCUAUGAUGAAUUGUUAAGCAAGUGCGAAAUUGGCUGAGAUGUGAAAAACCGAAGAAGCAAGACUUUUACCACAUAUGUGGAACCGAACUUGCGAUGAAAGUUCUGCAGGUGCAAGUUUAUGUUGAGCAGUGAAAAUCAUAGAAGCGGAACCGCACCUGCGAUGCUUCUUCCGCAGGUGCGAUGACUGGCCAAUUUUUGCAAAACUAGUAGCUUUGCAACUAUGGCUUGCUCGGCCCAUUUGGCUCGAUUCUUUGGACUAAUUGAUGUAUUUUGAAUUUCUUAACAUGACUAUAAUGCCCGACUAAUUUUGUUUUGAUUUUUUAGGUACUUUGAACUUAAAAUAUGGACCCAAAGAUGAAUGAAAAUAUGGCACAUGAUCUUGAAAUUGAAGAAGAGGCUGUAGAAGAGCAAUUCGACAAUUAUCGCUUCAUGUCCAUUGAUUGUCACCACUGAUACUAUGACAAUCUUCUUAUAAAGAAGGUCCUACUGGAAAAGGGGAUCUUUGGGGAUAGAUUGGCCGAGCUACUUCCAGAUUUCUAUGACCGUCUAUAGACCACUGGUUGGAAUUGUUUCAUGCCUACUCCGUGUGAUGAAAAUUAGGAAUGGGCUUGUGAGUUUUACACCAACCUUAAGUGUAUAAACUUCAACGACCCACAACUCACCAUAAGGGCAAAAUAGUGUGAUUUGGACUUGAGCAGAUCAAUGAUGUUUUUUGGGCUUCCAAAGCAUCCACUUGAGUCGGUACGAGAAAAAAAAAUAUGCUCAAAUAGAGAGUGGCUAGCAUCUAAAAGUUAUCCCUCAAACAAGAGAGCGAAGUGGGCCAACAAGAGGAAGGGUUUAAAAUUCGUUGACUUCACAGCUGAGGUCAAGAUAUGGCUUUACAUCAUCUGUAAUGGAGUCUCUUCUUAUGGCAAUGUCUCUGAUGUUUCAUAUGUCAGAUUUUCAGGUACAAUGUCUUAAGCAGAGAAUCAAAAUCAAUUGAAGUGAAAUGGAGCUAAAAUAGUUGAAUCAGUUAAACUGCAUCCACUAAAAUUGUAUUUGUGCAAAAUGCUCCGCAUCUGCGAGAAAUGGUCUACAUCAGCGGAAGAAGAGUUAUGAGGUUGAAAUUGUAGUUGCGAACGAUGCAUCACAUCUGCAAUAUCACUUUUGUGCUGGAAGUUUGCUUCUACGGACUCGCUUCUGUGUUGAUAUGUCCGCUUCUACGGAGUAACCAAAAUUGCACAAGACUUGCAUCUGCGAGUGAUUGAUAAAUUCCGAUUUGAGUAAAUUGAUCAUAUGUAGCAGACUAGUGCUUUUGAGUCAUUUCUUGAGGCUUAGUUGUUGUCACUUGAUUAUUUUGAAACUCCAUUGCAUUCUUGAGAUUGUUUUAAAUGAGGGCAUUAUUUGGUUGAUAUUCA